Syngnathus typhle (broad-nosed pipefish) is the source of this 3549-nucleotide long non-coding RNA. RefSeq lists it as uncharacterized. The record is from RefSeq and is a predicted model, not a curated record. Lineage: Eukaryota; Metazoa; Chordata; Actinopteri; Syngnathiformes; Syngnathidae. The transcript has 3 exons.
GGGCCUCCAUUCACCACUUCCCCAGUCGAGGUUGUUUUCUUAGCCUGAAUGACCUGAGACUUCUUCUGGGAUAGCAACUCUGGCUCCUGAUAGGCUACCCGAUUCAGAUCCACCACGCUGGCAACGCAACGUGGAACAGCCACUGUAAAAAAAAGAGACUUACCCCUCGCUGACAUUGAGGCCGUACUUCUGGAUGAAGUCGGUUGCUUCUUUGGCACUGCAGAACAUCAACAUCCGAACGAUGUCGUCCACAGGAAAAGCAGUUGAGCGCGGACCCACAGUGUGAGCAGUGUUCAAGGUCUUCAAUGCCUUUGCUCGGACCUGCACGUUGUUUUUCAAAGUAAAUGCAAUGGACGGUUGCACCUCGAGAACAUUUUCUAUUUGUCUUUGAUAGUCCUACGUAAGAAGCAAGUGAAGGUGCAUCUCUGUCACUUGACUAAAAAUGGUGAUUGGACGACAAAAGAAUGACCUGAUUGAAAUAUCUGUGGAGGAGGCAACUGGCCAGGUAGGAUGCCCUUUUCACCAGCUUGAAGAAGCGCACAAAGUUGUUGCUGUUGAGAGCGGCAAAAGCCUGCACGGCAAAAUGCACUUCGGGGGAGUUGCGCACUUCGUCCCGGAACUGUUGGACCUCACUGCCGCGGGUAAAAGGGGGAGUUACGAUCCAGUAUAGCUUAUGUAUGCGUAUAGCGUGGCGCACUGAGGCUCACCGCAGGAUGUCGCCGUCGUUGAGCUUCAACAGGACACUGUACUGGCGGAACUCAGCCUCGCGGGGGCACAAGACGUGACGGCCCUCCAGGUCCUCGUACAUCUCUUUCAGGCUUUGCAAGCACUUUGUCAAGUUCUCGUUGUUGAUCUUGACUUCAAAAACGGACAUUGGCUCUUCGCAGAGAUGGUGGGCGCAGUGUAAGUGGAAGCGUGUGCACUUCUCGAUCAGUGACACGGUGUGCGGGCAGCACAAACGCUGCUGGGUGAUGUCCUGUGGCAAACGUUGGAAUUAGUCAACGCGAUAUUCAUCAACAGUCCGACCGACCGGCUGGAUGGUUGCUACCUUUCGGAUAGCCCGGGUCCUGUUCCAGACAAAAUCGUACCAAUCCCGCAAGCUGUCGUGACCUUGGUCCAUGAUCUGAGUGACCAGAUAGUCCAUGGUCAUGGCGAGUACCGGCAAGGGGCGUAACUCGUGAGGAAGGGGCUCCUCCUGGUCAGCGGAUGAACGACUGUACUCUUUGAUGGCUGCUCCGUGAUCCACCUGGAUAGUUGUCGAUUCCGAUUUUGAACAAACGAUGAUGAUGAUAAGCCCCGGACGCAAAGAGCAGACUGCAAACAAUAUUAUCCAUCGUAUCCUGAUCAAAUAUAGCAAACGGUACCAUCUCUGUGUUGGGGAGGACUUCGUAUAUGCUGAGCUGAUUUCUUGUUUCCCUCAUGUAUCUCUCCUUCUCAGGACACAUGUCAGGACACGUUCCUACGAAGACCUUGGAGAGGUCCAUGUCCGUACUUUUGGGCCGACCUGAGGACAUCAUUCAAGAGUAUGUUUGUGAAGCUUAAAGAAGAGUCCAAGUCUGCUUUAGUGUCAAUUUCUUCACAUGCCACAAAGAGAUGGAAAUGACGUUCCCGCAAUUAGCCACGGAGGCUAAUGAGAAGUCGGUGACAAACCGAAAGCGUGCGUACCUUGUCGCAAAAUCUUGUCCCUCUGCUCUAGAAGCCGGUACUUGUCCUCCGUCGUCUCUGCCGUGACGCCGAUGAGGGGCGCGAGGCACUCCGAGAGCUGAGUCGUGGUGACGUUCUCCUUCGGAAGUUCCGAGUCAAGCUGGAGAGUUACCGCUGGCCUCUUCGACGGUGAGUUACUAGGCACACAAAGUAUCAGCGCUCUCUGCUGUGAUAACAAGCCUUCUCUAUUGUCCUUUACCUGCGGGUAAAGGUGUCGCCAAGUACGGGUCGUUUGAAAGCCUUGAAAUGAGCAGCCUCGUUGCCCUUCUCCGCUGCUUUUUUCCCCACGGCUCUUCUGCUUUUAUCCCCUGGACCUGACAAGCGGACACAAAGCAUUUCAGGUGUGGAGCAGAAAUGUUGAGCAAUGUCGCUGCUCGGUGCCUACUUAAGAAUUGAGUCGCGCUUUGCUUCUUUCGCUGCCACAAAAGGAGGAGUUCUUGCUGAUGCAGGAGCUUGCCGUUCUUCUUUGCCUUGGCUGCAGAUGCCUGCCAGAAAGAAUGCACAUAUUUAAAAAAAAAACUCAGCUGUGGUCACUUCUUUCGAUACUUUUGUCUGUCAACAGAUGAACAAACAAAGAGACUCACGUGGCUUUCAAAGUGCACCAUGGCUAAUCCCUUGGAAGGCCGGCAUUGGAGCUUGCUCACGUUGCCAAAUUGAGAGAAAUGCUUCUCAAUGAUGUUCUUUUUGUUGAGGGCCGCCGGGAUGUUCCUGCACUGAAGGACGGUCCAGUCAGUGGGAGACGUCCCGCUCUCGCCGUCCAAGCUCUCGCCGUCCAAGCUCUCGCUCCGCGCGCCAGUUCUCCUUGGCGUCUUGCUUUCGCCCAUCGCUUCUCGGGGGUCUUGCAAGUCUACAAAAAGAGAGGGGACACCCAGUGUGAACGCUCACCUGACUCUUGGGCUUUUUCCACUACCUCAGUGCUCAUGGUUUGUACGGCCGAUGUGCUAGGAGUCGCAUGUUCACGCGUCACUUGGGGAUGCUGGCUCGUCAACUCCUCCAGCUGGGCUUUCUGCUGCAGAGGUUCCUUUCCCUCUUGUUGGACCGAAGUGGUGGCAGCUUUUCGCAAUCCGCUCAGCGCUCUGCUGAAGAGCCCCGCAGUGGGCCGAGUUCUCAUGAGAGGUCUUUUGGGGGGCUGCCUGGGUGAAGAGGAGUCCGUUGUUUCGGCCUCCUCCGCAAUAGCUUGCGGCGCUGCUGCAGCAUUGGGCGCACUCGUUGCCGGGUCUUCUUCUUUACGUUUGGUGCCUUUUCUAAACGGCGCAAAUACAUUGGCGUCUCCACCCUGGCUCCUUUGACCGGGCUCCGCUUUGGAUUGAUUGUCGCUGAAAGCGGAGGGCUGAAUGAUUGCGUUUCCACCAAAGAGUUGGGCCGUCUGCGCUUGGAGGGGUUUGGUUGAAAAGCUAAAAGUGGAUGGUGUUUUAGGCUGGCCCAUUGGAGCAUUGGUGUUGGAAGUGGAGGGCGCGGCGGCAGGCUGGGAAAAGGUGAAUUGCAGAGCACUGGAAGGGCCGCUGUUACUGACGCCGCUUGUUACUGGGUUGUUUUGGAGCGGAAGGGAUGGAGCAGCAGCAGGCUGAGAGAAACUAAAGCCCAAUGAUCCCAAUUUUGCCCCAGAGAAGCCAGUGAUGGUGCUGCUGCUGCUACCAGCAGUGCCGGAACUCGUCUUCUCUGUGGUGCUACCAAAAGGAGGUAAGGUGGACAGCGGCGUGGUUUGAGGGUGACUGGGUUCAGGACUGCCACUGUAGAUUGGUUUGAAAAGAACUUCACUGGCUGGCUUGAAACUGAAUUCAGAUCCAAAUCCUCUGCUCUGGGUCGGAGUCGUACCAAACACACUACCGGCAGCGGUGGUACUUG